GAUGAACGCUGGCGGCGUGCCUAAUACAUGCAAGUCGAGCGAACAGACGAGGAGCUUGCUCCUCUGACGUUAGCGGCGGACGGGUGAGUAACACGUGGAUAACCUACCUAUAAGACUGGGAUAACCUCGGGAAACCGGAGCUAAUACCGGAUAAUAUAUUGAACCGCAUGGUUCAAUAGUGAAAGACGGUUUUGCUGUCACUUAUAGAUGGAUCCGCGCCGCAUUAGCUAGUUGGUAAGGUAACGGCUUACCAAGGCGACGAUGCGUAGCCGACCUGAGAGGGUGAUCGGCCACACGGGAACUGAGACACGGUCCAGACUCCUGCGGGAGGCAGCAGUAGGGAAUCUGCCGCAAUGGGCGAAAGCCUGACGGAGCAACGCCGCGUGAGUGAUGAAGGUCUUCGGAUCGUAAAACUCUGUUAUUAGGGAAGAACAAAUGUGUAAGUAACUAUGCACGUCUUGACGGUACCUAAUCAGAAAGCCACGGCUAACUACGUG
This 497-nucleotide ribosomal RNA is filed under the name uncultured bacterium. RNAcentral's name for it is "partial 16S ribosomal RNA". It matches the Rfam family "Bacterial small subunit ribosomal RNA", at positions 28 to 507 of the family's 1533-position model. The record is from RNAcentral.